GACGAACGCUGGCGGCGUGCUUAACACAUGCAAGUCGAACGGUAAGGCCCUUCGGGGUACACGAGUGGCGAACGGGUGAGUAACACGUGGGUGAUCUGCCCUGCACUUCGGGAUAAGCCUGGGAAACUGGGUCUAAUACCGGAUAGGACCACUGCCUGCAUGGGUGGUGGUGGAAAGCUUUUGCGGUGUGGGAUGGGCCCGCGGCCUAUCAGCUUGUUGGUGGGGUGAUGGCCUACCAAGGCGACGACGGGUAGCCGGCCUGCGAGGGUGACCGGCCACACUGGGACUGAGAUACGGCCCAGACUCCUACGGGAGGCAGCGGUGGGGAAUAUUGCACAAUGGGCGCAAGCCUGAUGCAGCGACGCCGCGUGAGGGAUGACGGCCUUCGGGUUGUAAACCUCUUUCAGCACCGACGAAGCGCAAGUGACGGUAGGUGCAGAAGAAGGACCGGCCAACUACGUGCCAGCCGCCGCGGUAA
RNAcentral lists this ribosomal RNA (478 nucleotides) under uncultured bacterium. Its description in RNAcentral is "partial 16S ribosomal RNA". It matches the Rfam family "Bacterial small subunit ribosomal RNA", at positions 28 to 523 of the family's 1533-position model. The record is from RNAcentral.